GGGGACAUAGCUCAGUUGGGAGAGCAGCAGACUGAAGUCGGAAUUCUGAAGGUCCCCAGUUCAAUCCUGGGUGUCCCCA
Molecule: transfer RNA, 79 nt
Filed under: Cylindrobasidium torrendii FP15055 ss-10
Lineage: Eukaryota; Fungi; Basidiomycota; Agaricomycetes; Agaricales; Physalacriaceae
Rfam family: tRNA
About the family: Transfer RNA (tRNA) molecules are approximately 80 nucleotides in length. Their secondary structure includes four short double-helical elements and three loops (D, anti-codon, and T loops). Further hydrogen bonds mediate the characteristic L-shaped molecular structure. tRNAs have two regions of fundamental functional importance: the anti-codon, which is responsible for specific mRNA codon recognition, and the 3' end, to which the tRNAs corresponding amino acid is attached (by aminoacyl-tRNA synthetases). tRNAs cope with the degeneracy of the genetic code in two manners: having more than one tRNA (with a specific anti-codon) for a particular amino acid; and 'wobble' base-pairing, i.e. permitting non-standard base-pairing at the 3rd anti-codon position.
Source: Rfam by way of RNAcentral